Molecule: non-coding RNA, 86 nt
Filed under: unclassified sequences
Description: L4-Archaeoglobi ribosomal protein leader
Rfam family: L4-Archaeoglobi ribosomal protein leades
Source: RNAcentral
CUGAUUAGGACGCAUGGGUCGACGUUCGUGCAACGAGCCCUUUCCCCCGUCACAGGAUAUGUGAGUUGGGGAUGCGCCAUUAUCAG